Molecule: ribosomal RNA, 171 nt
Filed under: uncultured bacterium
Lineage: Bacteria
Description: partial 16S ribosomal RNA
Rfam family: Bacterial small subunit ribosomal RNA
Source: RNAcentral
UACUCCUACGGGAGGCAGCAGUAGGGAAUAUUGCACAAUGGGGGAAACCCUGAUGCAGCGACGCCGCGUGAGUGAAGAAGUAUUUCGGUACGUAAAGCUCUAUCAGCAGGGAAGAUGAUGACGGUACCUGACUAAGAAGCCCCGGCUAACUACGUGCCAGCAGCCGCGGUA